This 921-nucleotide ribosomal RNA is filed under the name Triticum aestivum (bread wheat). RNAcentral describes it as "partial small subunit ribosomal RNA". Lineage: Eukaryota; Viridiplantae; Streptophyta; Magnoliopsida; Poales; Poaceae. The record is from RNAcentral.
AUGUUGUCACUCCACAACACAAAGUAUCAUAACACGCAGAGAGAGAGAGAGAGAGAGAGAGAGAGAGAGAGAGAGAGAGAGAGAGAGAGAGAGAGAGAGAGAGAGAGAGAGAGAGAGAGAGAGAGAGAGAUGGCAGCCAGCAGCAUGAGCAGGGACGAGAGGUGGAGCCUGGCCGGCGCGACGGCGCUCGUCACCGGCGGUAGCAAAGGGAUCGGCCACGCGAUCGUGGAGGAGCUGGCGGGGCACGGGGCGAGGGUGCACACGUGCGCCCGGAGCGCGGCGGAGCUGGAGGAGUGCCGCCGCCGGUGGGAGGCCAAGGGGCUCCCGGUCACCGUCUCCGUCUGCGACGUCUCCCUGCGCGCCCACAGGCUGCAGCUCCUGGAGACGGCCAAGCAGGUCUUCGACGGCAAGCUCGACAUACUGGUGAACAACGCGGCGCAGAUUCUUGCUAAGGCCAGCGUGGAGUGGACAUCGGAGGAGUACUCACAUCUGAUGGCGACCAACCAAGAGUCGUACUUCCACCUCAGCCAGCUCGCGCACCCCUUCCUCCUCAAUGCCACCAUAGCCGGAGGAGGUAGCAUCGUCAACAUAUCCUCCCAUGCCGGCUCACUCGGCUUCCCUGGCCUCGCGCUCUACAGUAUGGCAAAAGGAGGAAUCAACCAGCUUACAAGGAGCCUUGCUACAGAGUGGGCCCAGAACAAGAUCCGCGUGAACUGUGUCGCCCCUAGCGCGACUAAGACCGACAUGUUAAACAGUCUAGGACCGGAGAUCAUAGAAAACGAGUUGGCCAGGACUCCGAUGCGGCGAGCAGGCGAGCCAGCCGAGGUGGCGACUGUGGUGUCAUUUCUCUGCAUGCCGGCGGCGUCCUUCGUCACCGGCCAAGUCAUCACCGUCGAUGGUGGUCGGACCAUUAGUGGUUAG